RNAcentral lists this unclassified non-coding RNA (209 nucleotides) under uncultured fungus. RNAcentral's name for it is "sequence contains ITS1, 5.8S rRNA gene". Lineage: Eukaryota; Fungi. The record is from RNAcentral.
CUGAGUCUAGGUUCUCUCCCGAGGCCUGACCUUCUAACCCAAUGUCAAAAUUACACCUUGAAUGUUGCUUCGGCGGGACGGUCUCCCCUGACCGCCGGAGGAUUGGUCUCGACCGGUCCUCUGGAGCGUUGCCCGCCGAUGGCCUCUUCAUAACUACUUGUACUAAACCGUGACGCCUAAAAACAUAUCCAUGAAUAAUGGUUAAAACA